AUGACUCCACUGCUGCGUCCAGCAAAUACGGCGUUCCAGACCGUAAACGAGCUGAUUGACACAACUAACUGGAUAUGGCGUCAGGAGUUGGUGCGAGGGGUCUUUAUAGCACCCGAUGCUGCCGCCAUUCUUAACAUACCACUGCGGCAGGGCGGCGGCGAGGAUAUUCUUGCUUGGGCACAUGAGAAAUCAGGCAUUUAUUCUGUUAAAUCGGCGUAUCGAGCUCUAGUGAAUCAAAAAGAGCGUUUGGCUCUAGAUGAGGGGCAGAUUACCGGCAUUUCAGUGGAUCAACAACAGAUGUGGAAUGCGGUAUGGAAACUCAAAGUAGUCCCAAAAGUCAGAGUGUUCUGGUGGCGAGUUUUGAGGGGCAUCAUUCCGGAUGAGUGCACCCUAAGGUAUCGCCACAUAAAAGAAACAAGCAUGUGCAAGAUCUGCUUGGCUAUGAACGAGGACUUACAACACGCGCUGCUGCAUUGUACGCAUGCGCGCCGUUUUUGGGAGGAGGCUCGACUUAUUUUUGAAGUUCAUCUGCCACGUCUUCAUCCUCACACAUGGGCAAAGGAUAUCCUUUGUGAAUCCCGGUUCUCUGAUAAAGAUCGGGCUAUUUUCAGCACGACGAUUUUUUGA
RNAcentral lists this ribosomal RNA (627 nucleotides) under Triticum aestivum (bread wheat). Its description in RNAcentral is "partial small subunit ribosomal RNA". Lineage: Eukaryota; Viridiplantae; Streptophyta; Magnoliopsida; Poales; Poaceae. The record is from RNAcentral.